GGUCAGGUGCCGAUUCCCGAACACUGAAGUCACUCGUUUCGCUUUCACACACCAGUACACGCGACAUCCCCACUUCGGUGUGCCUCCACUCUCGGUCACGGGACGAAAACGUAAAUGGAGAUAGGCUAAGAUUCGCCGGAGACACGGGGAACCCCGCCACGCUCAUCUCCGACGUCAUAUACAGUAUAACGGACGCACACACGACGUUUUCAACAGCGAGUGCGGUUUUUAUCUUUUUACUUUCCCCCUAACCGGUGGAUUACGCAUUCAUACGCAAUGUUUUUGGGACUUCAAACAUUUCGUUGACUAAUUUAUGUAGGGAAAUUUCCUGAUUGAAAAACACAGAAUUUUGUGUUCGAUUAGUCAUUGUGGGAAAACUUCAUGGUCCAGUUUUUAGACCCUUUACUCUAUCGUCAUUGAGACAGAAAUCAACCUUGGUGAAACCCUACAAAUGGUCAUGUGAAUCCUCUAGAGAUCAGGGAUUUACUAGAAUUUUACCCAUUUAUCAAUAAUAUUUAGAACGAAAGAAAUUUGAUGGAGGAAUUUACUUCUCCAGCCAUCAAAGUAAUUUUGAAACGUUGUAAAAAUUUCACAUCAUUUUUAGGAAAUAAAUAAUUUACUUGUGA
This is a long non-coding RNA of Venturia canescens, 626 nucleotides long. RefSeq lists it as uncharacterized. The transcript has 2 exons. NCBI's taxonomy places the organism in Eukaryota, Metazoa, Arthropoda, Insecta, Hymenoptera, Ichneumonidae. The record is from RefSeq and is a predicted model, not a curated record.